AGUGGCGAACGGGUGAGUAACACGUUGGUGACCUGCCCCGAAGAGAGGGACAACCCCGGGAAACUGGGGCUAAUACCUCAUGUGCUCCAUGGUGUUAGAGGACCAUGGAGUAAAGGAGCAAUCCGCUUUGGGAGGGGCCUGCGGCCCAUCAGCUAGUUGGUAGGGUAACGGCCUACCAAGGCGACGACGGGUAGGGGGCCUGAGAGGGUGGUCCCCCACAAUGGCACUGAAACACGGGCCAUACGUCUACGGACGGCAGCAGUAGGGAAUAUUGCACAAUGGGCGAAAGCCUGAUGCAGCAACGCCGCGUGCGCGAUGAAGGCCUUCGGGUUGUAAAGCGCUUUUCUGGGGGAAGAGGAAGGACUGUACCCCAGGAAUAAGUCUCGGCUAACUACGUGCCAGCAGCCGCGGUAAAACGUANGAGGCAAGCGUUAUCCGGAUUUACUGGGCGUAAAGCG
Molecule: ribosomal RNA, 458 nt
Filed under: uncultured bacterium
Lineage: Bacteria
Description: bacterial SSU rRNA
Rfam family: Bacterial small subunit ribosomal RNA
Source: RNAcentral